UUAAAUAGUGAAGUGUUAGGUUUAUAACGUUAAUUAAAAGGGAAAGUGGUGAAAAUCCAUUACAGCCCCCGCUACUGUAUACGGCGACAAAUUCUAUAUCCACUGGAUCCUAUGGAUUUAUCUGGGAAGGAAGAAGGAGGAAGACCCGUGAGUCAGGAGACCUGCCUAGUGCUGUUUACUGCA
This 183-nucleotide non-coding RNA is filed under the name Clostridium carboxidivorans. RNAcentral also lists the same sequence under 1 other name. Lineage: Bacteria; Bacillati; Bacillota; Clostridia; Eubacteriales; Clostridiaceae. The record is from RNAcentral.